GAAAAAAAAAAGAGUUGAUUUGAAGUUGGAGGCAUGGCUCAGUUGAUCAAAUGCUAGCCAAUGAGUGAAAGCAGCUGCAGCUACCAAGUUUGAGGCCUGGUCUCAGGCCGAGAAAUGAAAAAAGAAAAGAAUGGCCUUGGAGUUGAAUGGAAAUAAUAAUUAUAUGUAUAUGUUGACAAAUCUCAGUGAACCCCUACACUUCAAUUUCUCCUGGAAUUCAUAGGUAAUCUAUAUAUAGGUUUGUUUUUCCAGUCUAGAGUGUCUGAGCUAACCCUCUCCAAGAGUUUAUAGAAUACCUAAUUUAUCUGUUUGGGAUCCCAAGAAGCAACACACUGGACUAAAGUGUGGCUAAAAGAAAGGACUUUAUAACAAAGGAGAUGGAAAAAUAGACACAGGACAACAAGAUAGACUGUUCCUACCCUAUAAUAUCAUCUGGAAUCUGCUCUGGACUUGGAGGGGGUACCCUUAAAGAUUCAGUAUAUACUAUGAUGUGGUGGUCAUUCUGUGGAUCUGGGUCCAAAUAGCUAAAAAACAUGGUUUA
This is a long non-coding RNA of Perognathus longimembris pacificus (Pacific pocket mouse), 541 nucleotides long. RefSeq lists it as uncharacterized. NCBI's taxonomy places the organism in Eukaryota, Metazoa, Chordata, Mammalia, Rodentia, Heteromyidae. The record is from RefSeq and is a predicted model, not a curated record. The transcript has 2 exons.